GGGGAGGCUUACAUGCAGUCGAACGGAGAUAUCUUUUCGAAGCGAUUAGUUUACUAAGAGUGGAGAUGUUGGUAUCUUAGUGGCGGACGGGUGAGUAACGCGUGGGUAACCAGCCUUACACUGGGGGAUAACACUUAGAAAUAGGUGCUAAUACCGCAUAACAGGAGAAGAUGCAUGUCUUUUCCUUAAAAACUCCGGUGGUGUAAGAUGGACCCGCAUCUGAUUAGCUGGUUGGCGGGGUAACGGCCCACCAAGGCGACGAUCAGUAGCCGGCCUGAGAGGGUGAACGGCCACAUUGGGACUGAGAUACGGCCCAAACUCCUACGGGAGGCAGCAGUGAGGAAUAUUGGUCAAUGGGAGAGAUCCUGAACCAGCCAAGCCGCGUGAGGGAAGACGGCCCUAUGGGUUGUAAACCUCUUUUGUCGGAGAACAAAACCCGGGACGUGUCCCGGACUGCGUGUAUCCGAAGAAAAAGCAUCGGCUAACUCCGUGCCAGCAGCCGCGGUAAUACGGAGGAUGCGAGCGUUAUCCGGAUUUAUUGGGUUUAAAGGGUGCGUAGGCGGUCUGUUAAGUCAGCGGUAAAAUUGCGGGGCUCAACCCCGUCGAGCCGUUGAAACUGGCAGACUUGAGUUGGCGAGAAGUACGCGGAAUGCGCGGUGUAGCGGUGAAAUGCAUAGAUAUCGCGCAGAACUCCGAUUGCGAAGGCAGCGUACCGGCGCCAGACUGACGCUGAGGCACGAAAGCGUGGGG
Molecule: ribosomal RNA, 750 nt
Filed under: uncultured bacterium
Lineage: Bacteria
Description: bacterial SSU rRNA
Rfam family: Bacterial small subunit ribosomal RNA
Source: RNAcentral